GGAGACGUGGCCGAGUGGUCGAAGGCACUCCCCUGCUAAGGGAGCAUUUGCUCAAAAAGCGAAUCGGAGGUUCGAAUCCUCUCGUCUUCG
RNAcentral lists this transfer RNA (90 nucleotides) under Polynucleobacter brandtiae. Its description in RNAcentral is "Polynucleobacter sp. UB-Domo-W1 tRNA-Ser". It matches the Rfam family "tRNA". From Rfam's summary of the family: Transfer RNA (tRNA) molecules are approximately 80 nucleotides in length. The record is from RNAcentral. Lineage: Bacteria; Pseudomonadati; Pseudomonadota; Betaproteobacteria; Burkholderiales; Burkholderiaceae.